RNAcentral lists this ribosomal RNA (480 nucleotides) under Vibrio natriegens. RNAcentral's name for it is "bacterial SSU rRNA". It matches the Rfam family "Bacterial small subunit ribosomal RNA", at positions 291 to 763 of the family's 1533-position model. Lineage: Bacteria; Pseudomonadati; Pseudomonadota; Gammaproteobacteria; Vibrionales; Vibrionaceae. The record is from RNAcentral.
UCUGAGAGGAUGAUCAGCCACACUGGAACUGAGACACGGUCCAGACUCCUACGGGAGGCAGCAGUGGGGAAUAUUGCACAAUGGGCGCAAGCCUGAUGCAGCCAUGCCGCGUGUAUGAAGAAGGCCUUCGGGUUGUAAAGUACUUUCAGUCGUGAGGAAGGCGUUGUAGUUAAUAGCUGCAUCGUUUGACGUUAGCGACAGAAGAAGCACCGGCUAACUCCGUGCCAGCAGCCGCGGUAAUACGGAGGGUGCGAGCGUUAAUCGGAAUUACUGGGCGUAAAGCGCAUGCAGGUGGUUUGUUAAGUCAGAUGUGAAAGCCCGGGGCUCAACCUCGGAAUAGCAUUUGAAACUGGCAGACUAGAGUACUGUAGAGGGGGGUAGAAUUUCAGGUGUAGCGGUGAAAUGCGUAGAGAUCUGAAGGAAUACCGGUGGCGAAGGCGGCCCCCUGGACAGAUACUGACACUCAGAUGCGAAAGCGUG